Molecule: ribosomal RNA, 253 nt
Filed under: uncultured bacterium
Lineage: Bacteria
Description: partial 16S ribosomal RNA
Rfam family: Bacterial small subunit ribosomal RNA
Source: RNAcentral
UACGUAGGGGGCUAGCGUUGUCCGGAUUUAUUGGGCGUAAAGGGUGUGUAGGUGGCGCGCUAAGUCGGGUGUGAAAUUUCGGAGCUUAACUCCGAAACUGCAUUCGAUACUGGCGUGCUUGAGGACUGGAGAGGAGACUGGAAUUCAUGGUGUAGCAGUGAAAUGCGUAGAGAUCAUGAGGAAGACCAGUGGCGAAGGCGGGUCUCUGGACAGUUCCUGACACUGAGACACGAAGGCCAGGGGAGCAAACGGG